AUACGUAGGUGGCAAGCGUUAUCCGGAUUUACUGGGCGUAAAGGGCGUGUAGGCGGUCUUGCAAGUCAGAAGUGAAAUUCCUGAGCUCAACUCGGGCGCUGCUUCUGAAACUGCAGGACUUGAGUGCUGGAGGGGAUAGCGGAAUUCCUAGUGGAGCGGUAAAAUGCGCAGAUAUUAGGAAGAACACCGGUGGCGAAGGCGGCUAUCUGGACAGUAACUGACGCUGAGGCGCGAAAGCGUGGGGAGCAAACAGGAUUAGAUACCCUGGUAGUCCACGCUGUAAACGAUGAUUACUAGGUGUUGGGGACCAAAGGUCCUCGGUGCCGCCGCAAACGCAUUAAGUAAUCCACCUGGGGAGUACGUUCGCAAGAAUGAAACUCAAAUGAAUUGACGGGG
Molecule: ribosomal RNA, 396 nt
Filed under: uncultured bacterium
Lineage: Bacteria
Description: partial 16S ribosomal RNA
Rfam family: Bacterial small subunit ribosomal RNA
Source: RNAcentral